UUAAUAAGCGGAGGAAAAGAAACUAACAAGGAUUCUCUUAGUAAGGGCGACUGAAGCGAGAAUAGCUCAAGAUGUUAAUUGAUGUGUCAUGCAUCGAAUUGUGGUCUUUUGAUAUUUGUGUUAAAGUGUGGAUGAAGUCUUCUGGAAAGGAGCGGCAAAGAGGGUGACACCCCCGUGAAUCUACGCUAUAAAACUUUUAUCAUUGAGUCGAGUUGCUUGGGAUUGCAGCUCUAAGUGGGUGGUAAAUUCCAUCUAAAGCUAAAUAUGGUUGGGAAACCGAUAGUGAACAAGUACCGUGAGGGAAAGAUGCAAAGAACUUUGAAAAGAGAGUUAAAGAGUACCUGAAAUUGCUGAAAGGGAAGCGAAGGAAACCAGUGUAUGUUAAAACAUAUUUGUCUUCUGGCUUGCUGGAAGACCGCUAUGCUUAACAAUGUCUUGGUUGGUUGGAUUGGGAAAAAAUUUGUUUUUACUGCUAGUGAUUACAUAGUUUCUUGAUUUGACUGAGUUAAGACAAAAUGGUUUUCUUUUCCCCG
Molecule: ribosomal RNA, 533 nt
Filed under: Cymbella janischii
Lineage: Eukaryota; Bacillariophyta; Bacillariophyceae; Cymbellales; Cymbellaceae
Description: partial 28S ribosomal RNA
Rfam family: Eukaryotic large subunit ribosomal RNA
Source: RNAcentral